AACAGUGACACAACAACCAAUCAACGGGUUGCUCCAGUCACAUCACUACCAAAAAACCCCAAAAAUCAGUCGUGUUGCUGUUUUCCUCGCUGGAAACGGGUCAAAAUUCGGCUAGAAAAUUUCACUUUUUGCAACCCUUUUUGUUCUUCUAUCCCUUUCCCGUCAUCAAUAAUACCGACGGAAGCCACCGGCGAAGCCGUUAGCACCGCCCUUCUCCCCACCAUGGCACAGUCCCCCUUUUAUCGCCCUCUCUCGUCGGCGACCAACAAACAACUCCGGUUACCACCAUCCGACUGCGCCCCUCCCCUCUCUCCUUUUUUCUCUUUCUAUCACCACUACCGCACCAUGUGAGUCAGAUUUGGCCAAAUUUUUAUCCGUCUUUACCAUGGCGAAGCCCACCAGAUAGCUUAAGUAUAACAG
RNAcentral lists this long non-coding RNA (420 nucleotides) under Capsicum annuum. RNAcentral describes it as "long non-coding RNA (CANN_LNC007023)". The record is from RNAcentral. Lineage: Eukaryota; Viridiplantae; Streptophyta; Magnoliopsida; Solanales; Solanaceae.